Molecule: long non-coding RNA, 1251 nt
Organism: Prunus dulcis (almond)
Lineage: Eukaryota; Viridiplantae; Streptophyta; Magnoliopsida; Rosales; Rosaceae
Exons: 3
Source: RefSeq, a predicted model, not a curated record
AGUCUGAAACUCGAAAUUGAAAAAAUUUAGCUGCAAAUUUGAGCUUGAGAUUGAGAUUGGGAAGCCGAAGCAGUCGAAGCAGUGAAGCACAAGUCAAGUCCAUAGAAGAAGAGAUCAUGAGAUUCUUAAUUCAUCUAAUUCCAUUCCUCUCCCUGUUUCCUGCUUUAUUCUCUUCUCUCUUGGCUCUCUCCCAAACCACAUGUUCACCUCACCACACCAACGACAACGAGGACAAUUCCUCCCUUUGGCAACUCUGCCUUAUUCUCUUCUCUCUUCGCAUUGAUGGCCUGGCGCAGAAGAAAAAAAUACAAAAUUUGCUGACUUGGUGUGUGUCUUUAGUGGAAGGAAAUGAUGAAGCUAUCCUAUCAUGGAGUUUCUAUGGUCUUGCCAAUAACAAGGAUGAAAGUGAAGUUUUCUUCAGGAUCAAAAGAAGUACAAAGCUACAGAAACUGGUUGAUGCUUUGUGUACCACCGUUCCCUCGAUCCUGAAUCAUUAAUACUUUUGUUUGAGAAUGACCACAUUCACAAGUAGAAGACUGCUGGGGAGAUGGAUGAACAAAGAUGAGAGGACUUAGAAAUGGACUGCUUGGUCAAAGUGUUGGAGAAAGUGGGAAUGGAGUCACUGCUUUUGGAUGUCCCUUUUGUGUGCAAGUCAUGGUACAAGGCGGCCCUCAAUCCUUAAUGCUGGCAAUCUCUCAUUUUCCCAGACAAUGAAUGUAUGGAAGUCUGGCCUUGGGAUGUGUCUGAAUGUCCGAAUUUUCAAAAUCUUAUGGACAGAUUUGCAAGUGAGUAUCAAAUUGAUGGGGAUCGUUGCUCUGUCUCCGCUUUUCUAAAGUUUGUUAUCAAUCGGAGCAGCGGAAACGCUAUUGUGCUCAAGCUUCCCAAACGCUGCACAGUAGAGCCUUUGAAUUUGCUGCAAAUGUGCAAGUUUUCUCAUUUUCACUUGUUUAACAAAACAAGUUAAUUUUCAAAACCCUGAAGUAUACCCAGUUUAAUUUUCAAAACCUCAAGCCUUUGAAUGUGCUCAAGCUUCCUCUUCGUGCAUCAUCCUCUUCGCCCAAGAUGCCAUAGCAUCUACUGGAGAGUUUAGGUUGUACAUUUGAUACCCAAGGGUGGGCAUGGAGGAAGAGAGAUGUGGCGAUUUACAUGGAGAAAAAGACAGUUUUUGGACCUGUGCCAUUUAUUCUAUUAAAAUAAUGGUAACUUUUGAAUAAAAGUAUUAUUAACAUGAUAAUAAUCAAUUAGUUGUGA